RNAcentral lists this unclassified non-coding RNA (337 nucleotides) under soil metagenome. Its description in RNAcentral is "partial contains 5.8S ribosomal RNA, internal transcribed spacer 2, and large subunit ribosomal RNA". The stretch from base 1 to 120 matches the Rfam family "5.8S ribosomal RNA", at positions 35 to 154 of the family's 154-position model. The record is from RNAcentral.
GAUGAAGAACGUAGCGAAAUGCGAUACGUAGUGUGAAUUGCAGAAUUCAGUGAAUCAUCGAAUCUUUGAACGCACAUUGCGCCCCUUGGUAUUCCAUGGGGCAUGCCUGUUCGAGCGUCAUUUGUACCUUCAAGCUUUGCUUGGUGUUGGGUGUUUGUCUCGCCUUUGCGUGUAGACUCGCCUUAAAACAAUUGGCAGCCGGCGUAUUGAUUUCGGAGCGCAGUACAUCUCGCGCUUUGCACUCAUAACGACGACGUCCAAAAGUACAUUUUUACACUCUUGACCUCGGAUCAGGUAGGGAUACCCGCUGAACUUAAGCAUAUCAAUAAGCGGAGGA